RNAcentral lists this ribosomal RNA (644 nucleotides) under Lactobacillus sp. B 247. RNAcentral describes it as "bacterial SSU rRNA". It matches the Rfam family "Bacterial small subunit ribosomal RNA", at positions 79 to 667 of the family's 1533-position model. Lineage: Bacteria; Bacillati; Bacillota; Bacilli; Lactobacillales; Lactobacillaceae. The record is from RNAcentral.
ANAAGGNUUGCCGAUUUNAUUGANUAGUGCUUGCCCGAGAUUCAACAUGGAACGAGUGGCGGACGGGUGAGUAACCCGUGGGUAACCUGCCCUUAAGUGGGGGAUAACAUUUGGAAACAGAUGCUAAUACCGCAUAGAUCCAAGAACCGCAUGGUUCUUGGCUGAAAGAUGGCGUAAGCUAUCGCUUUUGGAUGGACCCGCGGCGUAUUAGCUAGUUGGUGAGGUAAUGGCUCACCAAGGCGAUGAUACGUAGCCGAACUGAGAGGUUGAUCGGCCACAUUGGGACUGAGACACGGCCCAAACUCCUACGGGAGGCAGCAGUAGGGAAUCUUCCACAAUGGACGCAAGUCUGAUGGAGCAACGCCGCGUGAGUGAAGAAGGCUUUCGGGUCGUAAAACUCUGUUGUUGGAGAAGAAUGGUCGGCAGAGUAACUGUUGUCGGCGUGACGGUAUCCCAACCAGAAAGCCACGGCUAACUACGUGCCAGCAGCCGCGGUAAUACCGUAGGUGGCAAGCGUUAUCCGGAUUUAUUGGGCCGUAAAGCGAGCGCAGGCGGCUUUUUAAGUCUGAUGUGAAAGCCCUCGGCUUAACCCAGGAAGCGCAUCGGAAACUGGGAAACCUGAGUGCAGAAGAGGACCGUGGAAC